This 437-nucleotide long non-coding RNA is filed under the name Rattus norvegicus (Norway rat). Its description in RNAcentral is "long non-coding RNA NONRATT003137". The record is from RNAcentral. Lineage: Eukaryota; Metazoa; Chordata; Mammalia; Rodentia; Muridae.
AGGAAUGGAGAGAAACACUGUAAGGAAUCUUUUAAAGUUGAUUUCUUUGCAUCUUUGGCUACCUAAAUGACACAGUCAAUAUUACUAGACUGGACAGGGGGAAACUGAUGGCAGAUUCUCAGAGGAAACCUCUGAUGGAAGGCCAGAAAGUCUGUAUUUAAUGACUUUAAAUCCUCGAGCAACCUGGUCUAGGGAUCGUUUACACUUGAGAAGAACUACUGAACAGCACGUGCCAGAGAUUGAGGUCCAGGUCAAACGUAGAAGGACAGCCUCACUGAGCAACCAAGAGUGUCACUUGUACCCAAGGCGUUCUCAGCAACAGCAAAUUCCUGUGGUGGAUUUCCAGGCAGAACUGAGACAGGCGUUCUUAGCUGAGACACCAAGAGGUGGUUAAAGCAGUAUUGGAACUGUGGGGUGGUGGAAGUCAACAAAAACAG